RNAcentral lists this ribosomal RNA (233 nucleotides) under uncultured bacterium. RNAcentral describes it as "partial 16S ribosomal RNA". It matches the Rfam family "Bacterial small subunit ribosomal RNA", at positions 29 to 242 of the family's 1533-position model. The record is from RNAcentral.
AACGAACGCUGGCGGCGUGGAUAAGGCAUGCAAGUCGGACGAAUUUUCUAGCUGUUUCGGAAAUUAGUGGCAAACGGGUGCGUAACACGUGGGUAAUCUGCCUCAGAGAUUGGGAUAACCUGUCGAAAGACGGGCUAAUACCAAAUGUGACCACGCCCUCUUCGGAGGGUGAGGUAAAAGGUGGGCGAGCUUCGGCUUGCCUAUCACUUUGUAGAUGAGCCCGCCGUCCUACU